This is a non-coding RNA of Delphinapterus leucas (beluga whale), 347 nucleotides long. The record is from RefSeq and is a predicted model, not a curated record. NCBI's taxonomy places the organism in Eukaryota, Metazoa, Chordata, Mammalia, Artiodactyla, Monodontidae.
CUGCACUCGCGCCCAUUGUGGUGCCACCAGACGCUCCCUCAACAUGCAGAACGAUGCCGGCGAGUUCGUGGACCUGUACAUGCCACGGAAAUGCUCUGCCAGCAACCGCAUCAUAGGCGCCAAGGACCAUGCGUCCAUCCAGAUGAACGUGGCCAAGGUUGACAAGGUGACAGGCAGGUUCAACGGCCAGUUUAAAACCUAUGCCAUCUGCGGGGCCAUUCUCAGGAUGGGCGAGUCAGAUGACUCCAUUCUCCAACUGGCCAAGGCUGACGGCAUCGUCUCAAAGAACUUCUGACUGGAGAGGAUCCUGGAUGUGGAACGUGUGUUAUAAAUAAAGAGUGAAAGCC